CCUACGGGGGGCUGCAGUGGGGAAUAUUGCACAAUGGGCGAAAGCCUGAUGCAGCGACGCCGCGUGGGCGAAGAAGGCCUUCGGGUCGUAAAGCCCUGUCCUAUGGGAAGAAAGAUGACGGUACCAUAGGAGGAAGCCCCGGCUAACUCCGUGCCAGCAGCGGCGGUAAUACGUAGGGGGCGAGCGUUGUCCGGAAUGACUGGGCGUAAAGGGUACGUAGGCGGAGAAUUAAGACAGAUGUGAAAACUCUGGGCUCAACCGAGAGCAUGCAUCUGAUACUGGUUAACUUGAGUGUAGAAGAGGGGAGUGGAAUUCCUAGUGUAGCGGUGAAAUGCGUAGAUAUUAGGAGGAAUACCAGUGGCGAUGGCGACUUUCUGGACUUAGACUGACGCUGAGGUACGAAAGCGUGGGGAGCAAACAGGAUUAGAUACCCUUGUAGUC
RNAcentral lists this ribosomal RNA (441 nucleotides) under uncultured bacterium. RNAcentral's name for it is "bacterial SSU rRNA". It matches the Rfam family "Bacterial small subunit ribosomal RNA", at positions 338 to 795 of the family's 1533-position model. The record is from RNAcentral.